Anneissia japonica is the source of this 3088-nucleotide long non-coding RNA. RefSeq lists it as uncharacterized. Lineage: Eukaryota; Metazoa; Echinodermata; Crinoidea; Comatulida; Comatulidae. The record is from RefSeq and is a predicted model, not a curated record. The transcript is spliced from 2 exons.
GAUGUCUGAAUAUGAUUAUGUAUGAGCCAAAAUUUAUCCUAUUAAUUUCUAUUUAAAAUCUUAUAUUCUAUUUUUGUUUUUUUAUCUCAGAACCUUGGACUAUGAAUUUUAGCCGGUCACAAAAACGAAAGUAUUUCUUCAACUUGGUUACAAACGAGUCAUUGUUUGAAUGCCCGUCAGAUUCAAUAGCAUCGUUUAGAGAUUGCCACAAAACAAGACUGUUAUGGAAAUGGGAGGAUGGAGUAGUCGUACAUGACGUCCAGAGCAAUAGGGACGAACACAAGCUAUCUAAGGAUGACAUAUUAAACUUUGUGCAACGGAAAAUACCAAGAUGAAACUACGUAAAAAAUCAGUGAGCUUAAAAAUUGGUCAGAGGGUAUAAAGUUUGGCUGGAAUUCUUAAGUGAAUUUCGAUUUGAAACUGAGGGCUGUGUGCAAACUCUGACAUUUCCAGUGUGCUCGCAAAAACCUUCAUGCACUGCUUUUACACCGCUUUAUGCUCAGCUUUUAACAUCAUUAUUUUUACUGAUGAUAAGUAUUGAGCCGUAACAGCAAUGGGUUUCUAGCCAAAGAUAGUAAGCGGGGCACACACAUUUAGGGUUUUUAAUGUAUUUUUGCAAGCUGCAAGAAAAUUGCCAUCAGGUCUUAUGUUGCCUGCCAGUCACACGUUGCCCUCUUCACUUAAGCUCUUUGUUUUAAUUGUAUUAUUACCUUUGCUUUCAUGCAGGUAACUUUUAUGGGAAUAUCAUUUUAAAUGAUAGUUUUUUAUGAUUCAAAUCAGUUCAGUAUCGGUAUUUAUAUUUACAUUAUCUCAUGUAAUGAUGAAUGAUUGUAAUAAAAAUAAUUAGAAUAAUUAUGGUAAUAUUAAACAUGGAUUGUGAGGUGAGGGGAUUGUGCUAGGCUUCCCGACGGGAGGGUUUGUGAACCCAUUGUUGGAGGCUUGGACCCCUUGUCAGGGAGCUUGAACCCUUCGUCGAAGAAUUCCUGGCGCCGCCCCUGCAGUCAAUAUGUUGUGUAUUGUUGAAGGAUUAUAACUAACAAUCAAUCAAUCACUCAAUCAAUAAGCCAAUUCGUAGUUUGAACUGCACAUGCUCGUAUCUAGGGGCGGAUUUAGGGUCAAAUUUACUGGGGGAGGGGGAGUCAGGAUUAUGAGGGCCCAACUUUACCAUGGUCAACUCACUAUAAGGAAGGGCGCAGAUGUGUUUUUACACUGCGUUGUGUGGGAGAGGGGGGUGGGACAUUUCGUGAGUCCACAAUUUGAAGAAAUAGUAACAUCUACAGUAGAUGGCCGGAAAUGAGACUUUUAUAUUAAAUUUGUAUAGUAAUAUUCACCACAUCACCAUUGUAGUCAAAAUGAAAUGAUCUUUUAUCAGCAGUUUUUGGAAACCAUAGAGAUUUCAUUAAUGUGUGAUGUGCCAUAGAAAAUAAAACUAAUAGAAAAAUUGUUUGAUGUAUUCACUUUACCUACUUCAAAGCCAUGAGUCCACAUUCACCUCAGUGGGGCUGAGGUGCAAAAAUUUGGGGAAAUAGUACCUCUAGAUGCCUGGAAAUGACAUUCUUAUACUGUAUAGGAAAAUUCAUCAUCACAUUACCAUUAUAGUCAAAAUGGAGCGCAUUGUAGGCAAUGGUGUAUCUAGUCUUGGAAUGGGGAUGCUGGCGCCAGUAAUUUUUGGAGUGGCGUGCGCAUCCCUCCUAGAUACGCCACUGAUUAUAGGUAAUUCAGACGAUUGUGGGCUAGAGAUACCGGUAUCUUACUUUAAGAUAAGAUGUACAGUAUUCUGGUUGUACAGCGCUCCUUUAAACCCUGGGUCAUUGAUACAUCUUUUGAAUUUGUAUUGCUGUCGAACCCCCUUUUUAUAACAUGUUGGGGAUGUGUCAUAUUUCUCUCUUUCUUUCUCCCUUUAUAAUCUGCGCCCAUGGGCACACGGGUCCUGAAAGGGUAGGUCUGAAAUUUGUUUUUGCUAGGCAGCUCAAAGGGGGUCACGACCUCUCACGCCCCUCAGAUCCGCCAAUGGUAUCCAAAGUUAAUCAACAUGAACCUAUGUUGUGUGCAUUGUGUGUAUGCGUAUGUCGACUGACCAUGAUACGGGCAUGCGCAGUACAAACUACCAGUUAAUCAAUAAACCAAGAAACCUAUCAAUCAACAUGUUGGGUGAUCUGAACCAUCAACCAGUAAAUCAAUCAAACCAUCAAUCAUCAUAAUGGGCGGGGAAAAACUGUCAGUGUCAGGCAAUGGGAUUGCGUGUGGCAGGCGGCCUUAGCAGUAUAGAGGUCAGUCAGGCUAGAGUGGCAUUGAUCUUAAGUCCGACUACUAUAAAGGGCAUUUAUGUUGUAUACAGCAACAUGUGCUGCACUGAAUUUGUAUUCCAAGUACUUUUCCGCUAAGCCCGCUCCUUAUAUUGUUGCUAAGGUCCCAAAACACGAUGUGUAAAAGCAUACUGACACGUGCGUUUUUGGGACAGCACUGUCUUUGUUAGGACAUGCGCGUGUUCCUGACCCUGUUCGGAUUGGUCAGUUGUUAAGUUUGAUUGACACUCCAGAAAGCUUCACUGGUUCUGUUGAUUGCUGUGUUGGUUGUCAGUCAUUCAUUUAUGGAAUAUGUAGACUGAAUGGAUGCAAGAGUUUGAAAGUCAAUUAAACCCAUUCUUUUUCUAAAUAUAUUUUGACAAAUAAUUUCUUUGAUUGUAUUCAGUAAACGUGGGAAGUAAAUAGACAAACAUUAUUAAAAUCGGUGAAAAUGAGAAAUCUGUGUGAAGAAAUGUCCCCAACCAGGAUUCUAACCCAGACUUUUUAGCCAACUGGGGUACUGGGAGCAUCUGGAAGAUGCAUAAGAAGAGGGCGCAUCAUAUUAAUCUCUGUUUCAAAUGAUACUAGAGUUGUAUCGGCACAUCAUAAGUGUGAAAUCAAUUGACUCUAAUGACAAUCUGAUUCCAACUUCCUACCACACUAAGCUUUUGGACAUCAAAUUUUUCAUGACAUAUUUUAAUCAUCCUAAACAAAUUUUAGUUCGAGUAUUACUGUGGCCUCGUGUUUGACAUACUACACAGCUAACAACAAGUAAUGACGACCGAAUAAAUGCUGAAACUGAA